GUUAACACAGCAGCUGGCAUAGUGCACCCACCAUCCAAUAAAAAUCAUUAGUCCACCACCCAUAGUUAUAUAAAUACUAGUAUUUUUUUUUAUAAGAACAUAUUAUAUGGUUUCCUACGGACAAUAGCUGACUAUGUGAAAUAUUAAUGUAUUAUCUAAAUCAUCAUAUGGGUUUUAUUUCUUGAUAACCAAGCACCAGAUCAUCAAAUAGCAUUUGUAGCUUGAACUUAUAGCGAUGUGUGUCUUUGACGAAGUACAAUGAUUUCAGAAAACCUCUUCCAGGCCAUUAAUGAACUAUUCCCUUGAUCCAAUUGCAUAUAUUGCACCAAAACAAAGCAGCCCUCUUGU
Molecule: unclassified non-coding RNA, 348 nt
Filed under: Hevea brasiliensis (rubber tree)
Lineage: Eukaryota; Viridiplantae; Streptophyta; Magnoliopsida; Malpighiales; Euphorbiaceae
Source: RNAcentral